UUUCCGUAGGUGAACCUGCGGAAGGAUCAUUACAGAGUUCAUGCCCGAAAGGGUAGACCUCCCACCCUUGUGUAUUAUUACUUUGUUGCUUUGGCGAGCUGCCUUCGGGCCUUGAGCUUUCGAGUUCGAGCGUGCUCGCCAGAGGAUAUCAAAACUCUUUUUAUUCAUGUCGUCUGAGUACUAUAUAAUAGUUAAAACUUUCAACAACGGAUCUCUUGGUUCUG
Molecule: unclassified non-coding RNA, 224 nt
Filed under: plant metagenome
Description: partial contains small subunit ribosomal RNA, internal transcribed spacer 1, and 5.8S ribosomal RNA
Source: RNAcentral